Molecule: ribosomal RNA, 263 nt
Filed under: uncultured bacterium
Lineage: Bacteria
Description: partial 16S ribosomal RNA
Rfam family: Bacterial small subunit ribosomal RNA
Source: RNAcentral
GAUUGCCUACGGGACGCAGCAGUGGGGAAUAUUGCACAAUGGGCGCAAGCCUGAUGCAGCGACGCCGCGUGAGCGAAGAAGUAUUUCGGUAUGUAAAGCUCUAUCAGCAGGGAAGAAAAUGACGGUACCUGACUAAGAAGCUCCGGCUAAAUACGUGCCAGCAGCCGCGGUAAUACGUAUGGAGCAAGCGUUAUCCGGAAUUACUGGGUGUAAAGGGAGCGUAGACGGCAUAGCAAGUCUGAUGUGAAAGAUCGGGGCUCAAC